This 253-nucleotide ribosomal RNA is filed under the name uncultured bacterium. RNAcentral describes it as "partial 16S ribosomal RNA". It matches the Rfam family "Bacterial small subunit ribosomal RNA", at positions 524 to 776 of the family's 1533-position model. The record is from RNAcentral.
UACGGAGGGGGCUAGCGUUGUUCGGAAUUACUGGGCGUAAAGCGCACGUAGGCGGCUUUGUAAGUCAGAGGUGAAAGCCUGGAGCUCAACUCCAGAACUGCCUUUGAGACUGCAUCGCUUGAAUCCAGGAGAGGUGAGUGGAAUUCCGAGUGUAGAGGUGAAAUUCGUAGAUAUUCGGAAGAACACCAGUGGCGAAGGCGGCUCACUGGACUGGUAUUGACGCUGAGGCGCGAAAGCCAGGGGAGCAAACGGG